RNAcentral lists this ribosomal RNA (469 nucleotides) under uncultured organism. RNAcentral describes it as "bacterial SSU rRNA". It matches the Rfam family "Bacterial small subunit ribosomal RNA", at positions 8 to 488 of the family's 1533-position model. The record is from RNAcentral.
AGAGUUUGAUCGUGGCUCAGGACGAACGCUGGCGGCGUGCUUAACACAUGCAAGUCGAACGGAAAGGCCCUGCUUUUGUGGGGUGCUCGAGUGGCGAACGGGUGAGUAACACGUGAGUAACCUGCCCUUGACUUUGGGAUAACUUCAGGAAACUGGGGCUAAUACCGGAUAGGAGCUCCUGCUGCAUGGUGGGGGUUGGAAAGUUUCGGCGGUUGGGGAUGGACUCGCGGCUUAUCAGCUUGUUGGUGGGGUAGUGGCUUACCAAGGCUUUGACGGGUAGCCGGCCUGAGAGGGUGACCGGCCACAUUGGGACUGAGAUACGGCCCAGACUCCUACGGGAGGCAGCAGUGGGGAAUAUUGCACAAUGGGCGGAAGCCUGAUGCAGCAACGCCGCGUGCGGGAUGACGGCCUUCGGGUUGUAAACCGCUUUCGCCUGUGACGAAGCGUGAGUGACGGUAAUGGAAAGAGC